CUAAGCCAUGCGAGUCAUUGUAGCAAUACAAGGCAGACGGCUCAGUAACGCGUAGUCAACCUAACCUAUGGACGGGAAUAACCUCGGGAAACUGAGAAUAAUGCCCGAUAGAACACUAUGCCUGGAAUGGUUUGUGUUCCAAACGAUUUAUCGCCGUAGGAUGGGACUGCGGCCUAUCAGUUUGUUGGUGAGGUAAUGGCCCACCAAGACUAUUACAGGUACGGGCUCUGAGAGGAGUGGCCCGGAGAUGGGUACUGAGACACGGACCCAGGUCCUAUGGGGCGCAGCAGGCGAGAAAACUUUGCAAUGUGCGAAAGCACGACAAGGUUAAUCCGAGUGGUUUCUGCUAAAGAAACCUUUUGUCGGUCCUAGAAACACCGAUGAAUAAGGGGUGGGCAAGUUCUGGUGUCAGCCGCCGCGGUAAAACCAGCACCUCAAGUGGUCAGGAUGAUUAUUGGGCCUAAAGCAUCCGUAGCCUGCUUUGUUAGUUUUCGGUUAAAUCUGUACGCUCAACGUACAGGCUGCCGGGAAUACUGCAAAGCUAGGGAGUGGGAGAGGUAGACGGUACUCGGUAGGAAGGGGUAAAAUCCUUUGAUCUAUUGAUGACCACCUGUGGCGAAGGCGGUCUACCAGAACACGUCCGACGGUGAGGGAUGAAAGCUGGGGGAGCAAACCGGAUUAGAUACCCGGGUAGUCCCAGCUGUAAACCAUGCAAACUCAGUGAUGCAUUGGCUUGUGGCCAAUGCAGUGCUGCAGGGAAGCCGUUAAGUUUGCCGCCUGGGAAGUACGUACGCAAGUAUGAAACUUAAAGGAAUUGGCGGGGGAGCACCACAAGGGGUGAAGCCUGCGGUUCAAUUGGAUUCA
RNAcentral lists this ribosomal RNA (864 nucleotides) under uncultured archaeon. RNAcentral's name for it is "bacterial SSU rRNA". It matches the Rfam family "Archaeal small subunit ribosomal RNA", at positions 44 to 914 of the family's 1478-position model. The record is from RNAcentral.